CUCUCUCCAGUAUGAAUUCUCAUAUGUACUUUUAGGUUUCCUUGUAGAUCAAAACUCCUUUCACACUGAAUGCAUGUGUAAGGCUUCUCCCCCAGCUGACGACAGAUAGUCAGACAAUAUUUCAGAAAUGUCAAGCAAUGUCGAACUGCACAGCCAAUCACAUCGAAGCGCUAUGACAUUUUCAGCCAAUCAAAAAGCGCAAUUCAUAACAUUCUCUUAACAUUCGUGACAUUUGACCAAUCAAAGAACGGGGAUGUCGACGGCACGUUUCCGCGUUUCACCGCUAGGUGGAGGGGUCAGCGCUUCUAGUCAGGUGUCAAUCAAGUUGCCGAACCAUGCCGAAGGUGUCCAAAAGAAUGAUAUAAUCCUCUGGGGAGGGGGGGGAUCCUCAAGUUCCAUGCCCUGUCCCCAGAGCCACUGCAGAUGUGUCCAGUCCCGCUCAGCCAUGCAGUAUUGUCUCACAGA
Cyprinus carpio (common carp) is the source of this 465-nucleotide long non-coding RNA. NCBI's taxonomy places the organism in Eukaryota, Metazoa, Chordata, Actinopteri, Cypriniformes, Cyprinidae. The record is from Ensembl.